This 253-nucleotide ribosomal RNA is filed under the name uncultured bacterium. Its description in RNAcentral is "partial 16S ribosomal RNA". It matches the Rfam family "Bacterial small subunit ribosomal RNA", at positions 524 to 776 of the family's 1533-position model. The record is from RNAcentral.
UACGUAGGGUGCGAGCGUUGUCCGGAAUUAUUGGGCGUAAAGAGCUCGUAGGCGGUCUGUCGCGUCGGCUGUGAAAACCCGAGGCUCAACCUCGGGCCUGCAGUCGAUACGGGCAAACUAGAGUACUGCAGGGGAGACUGGAAUUCCUGGUGUAGCGGUGAAAUGCGCAGAUAUCAGGAGGAACACCGGUGGCGAAGGCGGGUCUCUGGGCCGAUACUGACGCUGAGGAGCGAAAGCAUGGGUAGCGAACAGG